RNAcentral lists this ribosomal RNA (377 nucleotides) under [Candida] sp. LCF-122. Its description in RNAcentral is "eukaryotic LSU rRNA". The stretch from base 77 to 226 matches the Rfam family "5.8S ribosomal RNA". Lineage: Eukaryota; Fungi; Ascomycota; Saccharomycetes; Saccharomycetales. The record is from RNAcentral.
AAAAAUUUACAUUACACACUGGAUUUGACGCCAACACAAAAAAAUGUUAUACACAAUCAAAAUCUUGAAAAAUCAAAACUUUCAACAACGGAUCUCUUGGUUCUCGCAUCGAUGAAGAACGCAGCGAAUUGCGAUACGUAGUAUGACUUGCAGACGUGAAUCAUCGAAUCUUUGAACGCACAUUGCGCCUCGAGGUAUUCCUCGAGGCAUGCCUGUUUGAGCGUCGGCACCCCCUCUAACCCUCGGGUUAGGCGUUGACACGAAAUUUCAAGCGGUUCCGCAUCAAUUACACGUUUUUGAUGACGCCCCUCAUAUUUUUCGCCCUCAAAUCAGGUAGGACUACCCGCUGAACUUAAGCAUAUCAAUAAGCGGAGGAA